This 781-nucleotide ribosomal RNA is filed under the name uncultured eukaryote. RNAcentral's name for it is "bacterial SSU rRNA". It matches the Rfam family "Eukaryotic small subunit ribosomal RNA", at positions 1024 to 1827 of the family's 1831-position model. The record is from RNAcentral.
UUACUUCAUCUAACGAUGCCAACUAGCAAUCCGCCUGAGUUGUAUUUUUGACUCGGCGGGCAGCUCCGGGAAACCUAAGUACGGUUCCGGGGGAAGUAUGGUUGCAAAGCUGAAACUUAAAGGAAUUGACGGAAGGGCACCACCAGGAGUGGAGCCUGCGGCUUAAUUUGACUCAACACGGGAAAACUUACCCGGCCCGGACACUGAAAGGAUUGACAGAUUGAUAGCUCUUUCUUGAUUCGGUGGAUGGUGGUGCAUGGCCGUUCUUAGUUGGUGGAGCGAUCUGUCUGGUUAAUUCCGAUAACGAACGAGACUCUAGCCUAUUAAAUAGCCGUAAUGUUCGCAGCGCAUUACGGGUUCCUUCUUAAAGGGACAAGGUGCUUUCAGCACCACGAAACAGAGCGAUAACAGGUCUGUGAUGCCCUUAGAUGUCCGGGGCCGCACGCGCGCUACAAUGAAGAAACGAGCGUGUAGUUUUCCUUGUUUGAAAAAACUGGGUAACCCCUUCAAUCUUCUUCAUGAUUGGGAUUGGGGCUUGCAAUUGUUCCCCUUGAACGAGGAAUUCCCAGUAAACGCUAGUCAUCAGCUAGUGUUGAUUACGUCCCUGCCCUUUGUACACACCGCCCGUCGCUACUACCGAUUGAAUGAUUUAGUGAGGUCUUCUGAUUGAGCUCUCAUGUGGUCUUUGAUUGCAAGAAAGUUCGAAAAGAUGCCCUAACUUGAUCAUUUAGAGGAAGUAAAAGUCGUAACAAGGUUUCCGUAGUGAACCUGCGGAAGGAUC